Molecule: non-coding RNA, 28 nt
Filed under: Rattus norvegicus (Norway rat)
Lineage: Eukaryota; Metazoa; Chordata; Mammalia; Rodentia; Muridae
Source: RNAcentral
UAUUUCGUGUUGACUAUCAUUAAGAGGC